Molecule: ribosomal RNA, 468 nt
Filed under: uncultured bacterium
Lineage: Bacteria
Description: partial 16S ribosomal RNA
Rfam family: Bacterial small subunit ribosomal RNA
Source: RNAcentral
GACGAACGCUGGCGGCGUGCUUAACACAUGCAAGUCGAACGGAAAGGCCCUGCUUUUGUGGGGUGCUCGAGUGGCGAACGGGUGAGUAACACGUGAGUAACCUGCCCUUGACUUUGGGAUAACUUCAGGAAACUGGGGCUAAUACCGGAUAGGAGCUCCUGCUGCAUGGUGGGGGUUGGAAAGUUUCGGCGGUUGGGGAUGGACUCGCGGCUUAUCAGCUUGUUGGUGGGGUAGUGGCUUACCAAGGCUUUGACGGGUAGCCGGCCUGAGAGGGUGACCGGCCACAUUGGGACUGAGAUACGGCCCCGACUCCCACGGGAGGGAGGAGGGGGGAAUAUUGCACAAUGGGCGGAAGCCUGAUGCAGCAACGCCGCGUGCGGGAUGACGGCCUUUGGGUUUGAAAACGCUUUCGCCUGUGACGAAGCGUGAGUGACGGUAAUGGGUAAAGAAGCACCGGCUAACUACGUG